RNAcentral lists this ribosomal RNA (167 nucleotides) under Syngnathidae sp. CBM:ZF:17997. RNAcentral describes it as "partial 12S rRNA". The record is from RNAcentral. Lineage: Eukaryota; Metazoa; Chordata; Actinopteri; Syngnathiformes; Syngnathidae.
CACCGCGGUUAUACGAGAGGCUCAAGUUGAUGAGACUCGGCGCAAAGGGUGGUUAAGUAAUCUGUAACUAAAGCCAAACACUCCCAAAGCUGUUAUACGCAACCGAGAGUAUGAAGACCUCCUACGAAAGUGGCUUUAAAAAAUCUGACCCCACGAAAGCUAUGAAA